This 492-nucleotide ribosomal RNA is filed under the name uncultured bacterium. RNAcentral's name for it is "partial 16S ribosomal RNA". It matches the Rfam family "Bacterial small subunit ribosomal RNA", at positions 29 to 507 of the family's 1533-position model. The record is from RNAcentral.
AGUGAACGCUGGCGGUAGGCCUAACACAUGCAAGUUGAACGGCAGCACAGUAAGAGCUUGCUCUUACGGGUGGCGAGUGGCGGACGGGUGAGGAAUACAUCGGAAUCUACUUUUUCGUGGGGGAUAACGUAGGGAAAAUUACGCUAAUACCGCAUACGACCUACGGGUGAAAGCAGGGGAUCUUCGGACCUUGCGCGAUUGAAUGAGCCGAUGUCGGAUUAGCUAGUUGGCGGGGUAAAGGCCCACCAAGGCGACGAUCCGUAGCUGGUCUGAGAGGAUGAUCAGCCACACUGGAACUGAGACACGGUCCAGACUCCUACGGGAGGCAGCAGUGGGGAAUAUUGGACAAUGGGCGCAAGCCUGAUCCAGCCAUACCGCGUGGGUGAAGAAGGCCUUCGGGUUGUAAAGCCCUUUUGUUGGGAAAGAAAAGCAGCAGGUUAAUACCCCGCUGUUCUGACGGUACCCAAAGAAUAAGCACCGGCUAACUUCGUG